This 71-nucleotide transfer RNA is filed under the name Ovis aries (sheep). It matches the Rfam family "tRNA". Rfam says of the family: Transfer RNA (tRNA) molecules are approximately 80 nucleotides in length. Lineage: Eukaryota; Metazoa; Chordata; Mammalia; Artiodactyla; Bovidae. The record is from Rfam by way of RNAcentral.
UCCCUGGUGGCUGAGCUGUAAAGAAUCUACCUGCAAUGCAGGAGACCUGGGUUCAAUCCCUGGCUUGGGAA